RNAcentral lists this transfer RNA (69 nucleotides) under Enteromius fasciolatus (African banded barb). Its description in RNAcentral is "tRNA-Met". The record is from RNAcentral. Lineage: Eukaryota; Metazoa; Chordata; Actinopteri; Cypriniformes; Cyprinidae.
GUCAGGGUCAGCUAAAGAAGCUCCCGGGCCCAUACCCCGGAAAUGACGGUUAAACACCAUCUCCUGUCA